GUUGAUGGGAAUGUUGUUUGACUCAAGCAUAUGCAGUUGAGGUCUUGAGUCCUACUUAAAUUCCUAAAUGAUCUCCGAUCAGGCUUCAUCUUUCCUCUCCUC
RNAcentral lists this microRNA precursor (102 nucleotides) under Prunus dulcis (almond). RNAcentral describes it as "sRNA ncRNA". Lineage: Eukaryota; Viridiplantae; Streptophyta; Magnoliopsida; Rosales; Rosaceae. The record is from RNAcentral.